GGGGUAUUAUUACAAUCAAUAAGCGGAGGAAAAGAAACCAACAGGGAUUGCCCUAGUAACGGCGAGUGAAGCGGCAACAGCUCAAAUUUGAAAUCUGGCUCCUUUGGGGUCCGAGUUGUAAUUUGCAGAGGGAGCUUUUGGCGUCGGUCGUGGUCUAAGUUCCUUGGAACAGGACGUCACAGAGGGUGAGAAUCCCGUACGUGGCCGCCGGCCUUCGCCUUGUAAAGCCCCUUCGACGAGUCGAGUUGUUUGGGAAUGCAGCUCUAAAUGGGAGGUAAAUUUCUUCUAAAGCUAAAUACCCGCCAGAGACCGAUAGCGCACAAGUAGAGUGAUCGAAAGAUGAAAAGCACUUUGGAAAGAGAGUGAAAAAGCACGUGAAAUUGUUGAAAGGGAAGCGCUUGCGGCCAGACGUGCCCGCGGUUGAUCAUCCAGGCUCCAGCCUGGUGCACUCCUCCGCGGGCAGGCCAGCAUCAGUUCGGGCGGUCGGAUAAAGGCCUCUAUCACGUACCACCCCUCGGGGUGGCCUUAUAGGGGAGGCGCAACACGGCCAGCCCGGACUGAGGUUCCGCGCAUCUGCUAGGAUGCUGGCGUAAUGGCAGCAAGCGGCCCGUCUUGAAACACGGACCAAGGAGUCUAACAUCUAUGCGAGUGUUUGGGUGUCAAGCCCGAGCGCGCAAUGAAAGUGAACGGAGGUGGGAACCCUUACCGGUGCACCAUCGACCGAUCCUGAUGUCUUCGGAUGGAUUUGAGUAAGAGCAUAGCUGUUGGGACCCGAAAGAUGGUGAACUAUGCCUGAAUAGGGUGAAGCCAGAGGAAACUCUGGUGGAGGCUCGCAGCGGUUCUGACGUGCAAAUCGAUCGUCAAAUUUGGGCAUAGGGGCGAAAGACUAAUCGAACCAUCUAGUAGCUGGUCCUGCAGAAAUAUUCUCU
RNAcentral lists this ribosomal RNA (929 nucleotides) under Torula fici. RNAcentral's name for it is "partial large subunit ribosomal RNA". It matches the Rfam family "Eukaryotic large subunit ribosomal RNA", at positions 29 to 973 of the family's 3401-position model. Lineage: Eukaryota; Fungi; Ascomycota; Dothideomycetes; Pleosporales; Torulaceae. The record is from RNAcentral.